CCCGGUGAGGCGGGGAGAUGCCCGCAGAGGGGCCGGGCUCCUCACGGGUGGGGGGGGACGAGGAGGAGGACGGAGAGGCGGUUGCAGCCCCGCACGGUGCUACCCCGGGAAAGCGCCGAGCUCCGCACCCUCCGCCCUAAGGUCUGACUCAAAUACAGGCCACGCUGCAGCUGCUGUGCUGCCUGCAUUUCUGCAGAGGCACUGCUGAAAUCUGCCCUCGUUUCUUACACUGAAAAGAUACAUUCACAACAACAAUUCCUGCCAACCUGGCAAGCAAGCAGGCAGAACAAGCAGUUACCAUCACACUGCCUCAGCAAAGGCACAGGAUCUGCAUCCAAGGAGACUUACUUGGCAACUUCACAACAGAGCCAGAGGAGCCAGUCCUGGAGCAAAUCCUUGUCUUUGCAGGACAGGAGGUCGCUCGCACUGGACAGUGACAUUGGGACUCCCUUGAGGCAGCCGAGGAACGCCGGGCUCAGUCCAGCAGCAUCGGCAGAGCUUGUCAGACCGUGACACCUAGUGGCUGCGAGCCACAGCAACGCUCAGACCUCAAACCGCCGCGCUCAGUUUCUAUCAGCAUCCAUACUAAGCAAGCAUCAAUUUCCAGUAGCUUUCCAAGGAGUGGGACCAUCUUUCCCUCCCUGCACCCAGCUCUUCCAAAAAGCAACUUCUAAACAGGAUGGCCACUGAGAAUUUGCAGACCUCAAGCUCGGUUUUGUCACCAAUGCCAUUUGGAAACGCUGGGCUCAAGAAGCAGCUGGGCAAUAGCACCACUGCCCCACCUCAGGUCACCCCCAUAGAUGGCUGCGUUGCAAACUAACCUGAGUUAAUUCUGCAGCUGUUUCUCCAUUUGUGCUGGAAAAAAAAACCUGUGCAGUUGCAGCGUU
Long non-coding RNA from Gallus gallus (chicken), 887 nucleotides. RefSeq lists it as uncharacterized. The transcript has 3 exons. The record is from RefSeq and is a predicted model, not a curated record. NCBI's taxonomy places the organism in Eukaryota, Metazoa, Chordata, Aves, Galliformes, Phasianidae.